Long non-coding RNA from Ooceraea biroi (clonal raider ant), 633 nucleotides. RefSeq lists it as uncharacterized. NCBI's taxonomy places the organism in Eukaryota, Metazoa, Arthropoda, Insecta, Hymenoptera, Formicidae. The record is from RefSeq and is a predicted model, not a curated record.
AAAUAAAAUAUAUUAAUGAGAAUUAAAGCCACAGAAUUAAAAACACAUUUAAGAAUUAACAUAUUUAAUAACGUUUUAGUCACUCUACCAUCUCUCACUUGGCCGUUACGCAUUUAUGUGGGAUGAUAUUUUGAAGAGAAGAUUAAACUGAUAUACUUCCGCAACUUUUUUUCUAGAUGAUAACUUCUGAGAUCGGCCCUGUUGCGCCGCAUUAUCGAUUUACUCCUUCGCUAAAAUUGCGGAGUAAGCGAGAUAUCAGAUUUUUCUUAAUUUUGAUUUGCGAGUAAGACUGAUAUAUAUCCACCCGAUGAUUUUAAUAUCUAAAAAUAUAUAAAUGUAAGUACAAAAGUGAUAAUAAAACAUUAUAUGAUACAUACUAUGCAAGAGAGUUACUUAAUGUAACUAAUUUGUAUUCUAAUAUAAUAUAAUGCAAUAAGAUUUACUAUUGAUAUCGUACAUAAUAAUUUGAUUAUAUUAAUUAUUAGCAACCCUAUUCCAUUUUCGGGAAGGAAAAGAAGAAGAAAACAAGAAACAUAACAUUAAAGAAAAAACCAACAUUAACGAAAUGGCAUAGCAUUGCAUUAUAUGGCAAUGACAAAUUAAAAAAAAGAAUUUGGAAUUGUUUUUUCAAAA